Pygocentrus nattereri (red-bellied piranha) is the source of this 530-nucleotide long non-coding RNA. RefSeq lists it as uncharacterized. The record is from RefSeq and is a predicted model, not a curated record. The transcript has 2 exons. NCBI's taxonomy places the organism in Eukaryota, Metazoa, Chordata, Actinopteri, Characiformes, Serrasalmidae.
AGUUAAUGAUCUUCUCAGCGAAGCUCGUUCUGCUCGUUAGUUUGUGCUGAUGAUGCAGUGAUUCAGUCACGUGACGUUACUGAGCAGGAGGAGCUCAUGAGGCUCAUUUCAGGAGCCGGUUCAUCACUUUAAUGACGGAUUUGAGUCUCUGACCUAAACGAGUGUGAACCAUCGAGUCAGAGAGAUCAGAUUCGUAACGUGAAUGUAGCAUUUUAGGAAGCCUGAAAUAAGGAGGGCUCUUGCCAGAGAUUUGAACCCCAACACUCCAGAGUGAGGCGUGGUGGUAUUAUCCAUUACUCUAUCCACCUGCUAUGAUGGACUCUAUCAGAGACAGACUUUACCCACGAACAACCAGACCAGAUUCCUGGAAUUCCUUCUACUGGGUGACUGUCGAGUCCAGGCAGAUGUGUGGACUUCAGCAUCUUACGACAUCUUUUAAUGGAUGUGAAACACCAGCACCGUGUCGACCAUGUUGCUUUGAAAGAUGUUAUUUACACUGACACUGUGAAUAAAUUCUGUUAUGAAUGUGA